UACGAAGGGGGAUAGCGUUGUUCGGAAUCACUGGGCGUAAAGCGCACGCAGGCGGAUUUAUAAGUCAGGGGUGAAAUGCCGUGGCUCAACCUCGGAAUUGCCCUUGAUACUGUCUAUCUUGAGUCCGGGAGAGGUGAGUGGAAUUCCUAGUGUAGAGGUGAAAUUCGUAGAGAUUAGGAAGAACACCAGUGGCGAAGGCGGCUCACUGGCUCGAUACUGACGAUGAGGUGCGAAAGAGUGGGGAGCAAACAGG
RNAcentral lists this ribosomal RNA (253 nucleotides) under uncultured bacterium. RNAcentral describes it as "partial 16S ribosomal RNA". It matches the Rfam family "Bacterial small subunit ribosomal RNA", at positions 524 to 776 of the family's 1533-position model. The record is from RNAcentral.